AGUGAACGCUGGCGGUAGGCCUAACACAUGCAAGUCGAGCGGCAGCACAGUAAGAGCUUGCUCUUACGGGUGGCGAGUGGCGGACGGGUGAGGAAUACAUCGCAAUCUACUUUUUCGUGGGGGAUAACGUAGGGAAACUUACGAUAAUACCGCAUACGACCUACGGGUGAAAGCAGGGGAUCUUCGGACCUUGCGCGAUUGAAUGAGCCGAUGUCGGAUUAGCUAGUUGGCGGGGUAAAGGCCCACCAAGGCGACGAUCCGUAGCUGGUCUGAGAGGAUGAUCAGCCACACUGGAACUGAGACACGGUCCAGACUCCUACGGGAGGCAGCAGUGGGGAAUAUUCGACAAUGGGCGCAAGCCUGAUCCAGCCAUACCGCGUGGGUGAAGAAGGCCUUCGGGUUGUAAAGCCCUUUUGUUGGGAAAGAAAAGCAGCAGGUUAAUCCCCCGCUGUUCUGACGGUACCCAAAGAAUAAGCCCCGGCUAACUUCGUG
Molecule: ribosomal RNA, 492 nt
Filed under: uncultured bacterium
Lineage: Bacteria
Description: partial 16S ribosomal RNA
Rfam family: Bacterial small subunit ribosomal RNA
Source: RNAcentral